RNAcentral lists this transfer RNA (74 nucleotides) under Spirochaetaceae bacterium. RNAcentral describes it as "tRNA-Ala". It matches the Rfam family "tRNA". From Rfam's summary of the family: Transfer RNA (tRNA) molecules are approximately 80 nucleotides in length. Their secondary structure includes four short double-helical elements and three loops (D, anti-codon, and T loops). Lineage: Bacteria; Pseudomonadati; Spirochaetota; Spirochaetia; Spirochaetales; Spirochaetaceae. The record is from RNAcentral.
GGGGAUAUAGCUCAGUUGGCUAGAGCGCCGGCUUUGCAAGCCGGAAGUCGUGAGUUCAAGUCUCAUUAUCUCCA